Molecule: ribosomal RNA, 434 nt
Filed under: uncultured Lachnospiraceae bacterium
Lineage: Bacteria; Bacillati; Bacillota; Clostridia; Lachnospirales; Lachnospiraceae
Description: partial 16S ribosomal RNA
Rfam family: Bacterial small subunit ribosomal RNA
Source: RNAcentral
ACGGGAGGCAGCAGUGGGGAAUAUUGCACAAUGGGGGAAACCCUGAUGCAGCGACGCCGCGUGAGUGAAGAAGUAUUUCGGUAUGUAAAGCUCUAUCAGCAGGGAAGAAAAUGACGGUACCUGACUAAGAAGCCCCGGCUAACUACGUGCCAGCAGCCGCGGUAAUACGUAGGGGGCAAGCGUUAUCCGGAUUUACUGGGUGUAAAGGGAGCGUAGACGGUGAAGCAAGUCAGAAGUGAAAGCUCGGGGCUCAACCCCGGAACUGCUUUUGAAACUGUUUUACUAGAGUGCAGGAGAGGUAAGCGGAAUUCCUAGUGUAGCGGUGAAAUGCGUAGAUAUUAGGAGGAACACCAGUGGCGAAGGCGGCUUACUGGACUGUAACUGACGUUGAGGCUCGAAAGCGUGGGGAGCAAACAGGAUUAGAUACCCUGGUA